RNAcentral lists this ribosomal RNA (484 nucleotides) under uncultured bacterium. Its description in RNAcentral is "partial 16S ribosomal RNA". It matches the Rfam family "Bacterial small subunit ribosomal RNA", at positions 30 to 507 of the family's 1533-position model. The record is from RNAcentral.
AUUGAACGCUGGCGGCAGGCCUAACACAUGCAAGUCGAGCGGAUGAAGGGAGCUUGCUCCUGGAUUCAGCGGCGGACGGGUGAGUAAUGCCUAGGAAUCUGCCUGGUAGUGGGGGAUAAUGUCCGGAAACGGGCGCUAAUACCGCAUACGUCCUGAGGGUGAAAGUGGGGGAUCUUCGGACCUCACGCUAUCAGAUGAGCGUAGGUCGGAUUAGCUAGUUGGUGGGGUAAAGGCCUACCAAGGCGACGAUCCGUAACUGGUCUGAGAGGAUGAUCAGUCACACUGGAACGGAGACACGGUCCAGACUCCUACGGGAGGCAGCAGUGGGGAAUAUUGGACAAUAGGCGAAAGCCUGAUCCAGCCAUGCCGCGUGUGUGAAGAAGGUCUUCGGAUUGUAAAGCACGUUAAGUUGGGAGGAAGGGCAGUAAGUUAAUACCUUGCUGUUUUGACGUUACCAACAGAAUAAGCACCGGCUAACUUCGUG